AUCUAUGGCCAUAUCACCUUGAACGCACAAGAUCUCAUCUGAUCUCGGAGGCUAAGCAGGGUCCGGCCUGGAUAGUACUUGGAUGAGAGACCGACUGGGAAUACCGGGUGCUGUAGGGU
Ribosomal RNA from Piliocolobus tephrosceles (Ugandan red Colobus), 119 nucleotides. The record is from Ensembl. NCBI's taxonomy places the organism in Eukaryota, Metazoa, Chordata, Mammalia, Primates, Cercopithecidae.